Non-coding RNA from Penaeus vannamei (Pacific white shrimp), 72 nucleotides. NCBI's taxonomy places the organism in Eukaryota, Metazoa, Arthropoda, Malacostraca, Decapoda, Penaeidae. The record is from the annotation of a RefSeq genome assembly.
GCCUCUAUGGUGUAGUGGAGAGCACGGUCGCCUCCUACGCGACAGGCCCGGGUUCGAAUCCCGUUGGAGACA